CGAGUGAAGCGGGAAAAGCUCAAAUUUAAAAUCUGGCGGUCUUCGGCCGUCCGAGUUGUAAUCUGGAGAAGCGUCUUCCGCGCUGGACCGUGUACAGUCUCUCGGAAAGAGCGUCAUAGAGGGUGAGAAUCCCGUCUUUGACACGGACUACCAGUGCUUUGUGAUGCGCUCUCGAUGAGUCGAGUUGUUUGGGAAUGCAGCUCAAAAUGGGUGGUAAAUUCCAUCUAAAGCUAAAUAUUGGCGAGAGACCGAUAGCGAACAAGUACCGUGAGGGAAAGAUGAAAAGCACUUUGGAAAGAGAGUUAAACAGUACGUGAAAUUGCUGAAAGGGAAACGCUUGAAGUCAGUCGCGUUUGCUAGAACUCAGCCUUGCUUCGGUGAGGUGCACUUUCUAGUGAACGGGCCAGCAUCAGUUUUGGCUGCCGGACAAAGGCCUCGGGAAUGUGGCACCUUCGGGUGUGUUAUAGCCCUUGGUCGUAUACGGUGGCUGGGACUGAGGAUCUCAGCACGCCUUCAUGGCGGGGGUUCGCCCACCUUCGUGCUUAGGAUGCUGGCGUAAUGGCUUUAAACGACCC
Molecule: ribosomal RNA, 575 nt
Filed under: Porostereum spadiceum
Lineage: Eukaryota; Fungi; Basidiomycota; Agaricomycetes; Polyporales; Phanerochaetaceae
Description: eukaryotic LSU rRNA
Rfam family: Eukaryotic large subunit ribosomal RNA
Source: RNAcentral